RNAcentral lists this ribosomal RNA (250 nucleotides) under uncultured bacterium. RNAcentral's name for it is "partial 16S ribosomal RNA". It matches the Rfam family "Bacterial small subunit ribosomal RNA", at positions 524 to 773 of the family's 1533-position model. The record is from RNAcentral.
UACAGAGGGUGCAAGCGUUAAUCGGAAUUACUGGGCGUAAAGCGUGCGUAGGUGGUUCGUUAAGUCAGGCGUGAAAUCCCCGGGCUCAACCUGGGAACUGCGCUUGAUACUGGCAGACUAGAGUCUGGUAGAGGGUAGUGGAAUUCCGCAUGUAGCGGUGAAAUGCGUAGAGAUGCGGAGGAACAUCAGUGGCGAAGGCGGCUACCUGGACCAAGACUGACACUGAGGCACGAAAGCGUGGGUAGCAAAC